This 1485-nucleotide ribosomal RNA is filed under the name Limosilactobacillus fermentum. Its description in RNAcentral is "bacterial SSU rRNA". It matches the Rfam family "Bacterial small subunit ribosomal RNA". The record is from RNAcentral. Lineage: Bacteria; Bacillati; Bacillota; Bacilli; Lactobacillales; Lactobacillaceae.
UGGAACCGGGGGGGGUGCUAAUACAUGCAGUCGAACGCGUUGGCCCAAUUGAUUGAUGGUGCUUGCACCUGAUUGAUUUUGGUCGCCAACGAGUGGCGGACGGGUGAGUAACACGUAGGUAACCUGCCCAGAAGCGGGGGACAACAUUUGGAAACAGAUGCUAAUACCGCAUAACAGCGUUGUUCGCAUGAACAACGCUUAAAAGAUGGCUUCUCGCUAUCACUUCUGGAUGGACCUGCGGUGCAUUAGCUUGUUGGUGGGGUAACGGCCUACCAAGGCGAUGAUGCAUAGCCGAGUUGAGAGACUGAUCGGCCACAAUGGGACUGAGACACGGCCCAUACUCCUACGGGAGGCAGCAGUAGGGAAUCUUCCACAAUGGGCGCAAGCCUGAUGGAGCAACACCGCGUGAGUGAAGAAGGGUUUCGGCUCGUAAAGCUCUGUUGUUAAAGAAGAACACGUAUGAGAGUAACUGUUCAUACGUUGACGGUAUUUAACCAGAAAGUCACGGCUAACUACGUGCCAGCAGCCGCGGUAAUACGUAGGUGGCAAGCGUUAUCCGGAUUUAUUGGGCGUAAAGAGAGUGCAGGCGGUUUUCUAAGUCUGAUGUGAAAGCCUUCGGCUUAACCGGAGAAGUGCAUCGGAAACUGGAUAACUUGAGUGCAGAAGAGGGUAGUGGAACUCCAUGUGUAGCGGUGGAAUGCGUAGAUAUAUGGAAGAACACCAGUGGCGAAGGCGGCUACCUGGUCUGCAACUGACGCUGAGACUCGAAAGCAUGGGUAGCGAACAGGAUUAGAUACCCUGGUAGUCCAUGCCGUAAACGAUGAGUGCUAGGUGUUGGAGGGUUUCCGCCCUUCAGUGCCGGAGCUAACGCAUUAAGCACUCCGCCUGGGGAGUACGACCGCAAGGUUGAAACUCAAAGGAAUUGACGGGGGCCCGCACAAGCGGUGGAGCAUGUGGUUUAAUUCGAAGCUACGCGAAGAACCUUACCAGGUCUUGACAUCUUGCGCCAACCCUAGAGAUAGGGCGUUUCCUUCGGGAACGCAAUGACAGGUGGUGCAUGGUCGUCGUCAGCUCGUGUCGUGAGAUGUUGGGUUAAGUCCCGCAACGAGCGCAACCCUUGUUACUAGUUGCCAGCAUUAAGUUGGGCACUCUAGUGAGACUGCCGGUGACAAACCGGAGGAAGGUGGGGACGACGUCAGAUCAUCAUGCCCCUUAUGACCUGGGCUACACACGUGCUACAAUGGACGGUACAACGAGUCGCGAACUCGCGAGGGCAAGCAAAUCUCUUAAAACCGUUCUCAGUUCGGACUGCAGGCUGCAACUCGCCUGCACGAAGUCGGAAUCGCUAGUAAUCGCGGAUCAGCAUGCCGCGGUGAAUACGUUCCCGGGCCUUGUACACACCGCCCGUCACACCAUGAGAGUUUGUAACACCCAAAGUCGGUGGGGUAACCUUUUAGGAGCCAGCCGCCUAAGGUGAACAGAAUU